RNAcentral lists this ribosomal RNA (445 nucleotides) under uncultured bacterium. RNAcentral describes it as "partial 16S ribosomal RNA". It matches the Rfam family "Bacterial small subunit ribosomal RNA", at positions 354 to 796 of the family's 1533-position model. The record is from RNAcentral.
GUGAGGAAUAUUGGUCAAUGGGCGAGAGCCUGAACCAGCCAAGUAGCGUGCAGGAUGACGGCCCUAUGGGUUGUAAACUGCUUUUACACGGGGAUAAAGUGUGCGACGUGUCGUUCAUUGCAGGUACCGUGCGAAUAAGGACCGGCUAAUUCCGUGCCAGCAGCCGCGGUAAUACGGAAGGUCCGGGCGUUAUCCGGAUUUAUUGGGUUUAAAGGGAGCGUAGGCCGUCUGUUAAGCGUGUUGUGAAAUGUAGAUGCUCAACAUCUGAAUUGCAGCGCGAACUGAUAGACGUGAGUGCGCAGGAAGUAGGCGGAAUUCGUGGUGUAGCGGUGAAAUGCUUAGAUAUCACGAAGAACUCCGAUUGCGAAGGCAGCUUACUGUAGCGCCACUGACGCUGAAGCUCGAAAGUGCGGGUAUCGAACAGGAUUAGAAACCCCUGUAGUCC